RNAcentral lists this ribosomal RNA (482 nucleotides) under uncultured bacterium. Its description in RNAcentral is "partial 16S ribosomal RNA". It matches the Rfam family "Bacterial small subunit ribosomal RNA", at positions 30 to 507 of the family's 1533-position model. The record is from RNAcentral.
AUUGAACGCUGGCGGCAUGCUUUACACAUGCAAGUCGAACGGUAACAGGCCGCCAGGUGCUGACGAGUGGCGCACGGGUGAGUAAUGCAUCGGAACGUGCCCAGUCGUGGGGGAUAACUACUCGAAAGAGUAGCUAAUACCGCAUACGAUCUAUGGAUGAAAGCGGGGGACCGUAAGGCCUCGCGCGAUUGGAGCGGCCGAUGUCAGAUUAGGUAGUUGGUGGGGUAAAGGCUCACCAAGCCAACGAUCUGUAGCUGGUCUGAGAGGACGACCAGCCACACUGGGACUGAGACACGGACCAGACUCCUACGGGAGGCAGCAGUGGGGAAUUUUGGACAAUGGGCGCAAGCCUGAUCCAGCAAUGCCGCGUGCAGGAAGAAGGCCUUCGGGUUGUAAACUGCUUUUGUACGGAACGAAACGGCUCUGGUUAAUACCCGGGGCUAAUGACGGUACCGUAAGAAUAAGCACCGGCUAACUACGUG